RNAcentral lists this long non-coding RNA (5151 nucleotides) under Sus scrofa (pig). RNAcentral's name for it is "lncRNA (ENSSSCG00000054612.1)". Lineage: Eukaryota; Metazoa; Chordata; Mammalia; Artiodactyla; Suidae. The record is from RNAcentral.
CAGGGAUUCCAAGGGUAGCACCAAAGGGACCCCCUUCUUACUAAUCAGGGCCUUUGAGAGACCACUAGACCCUGUGAAUGGCCUCAAGAGAAAACAACACAGGAACUAGAGACAGCAUUUUGAAAUGCAAGAGAAAAUUUACUUUACUUCCUCUUUCAAUAUACUUUGGAAAUAAAAUGAGACACUUACCAAAAAGUAAGAAAAUUUAAUUGGCUGUUAAGAAAUUGCCCUAACUAUAAAAAAAUCCAAAGUGGUUAUUUCAAGAGAAGCCCCCCUUCCCAAAAGCCCCAUAGACCAGACCCCCCACCCCACCCCGGUGGCCGAGGAACGCACAGAUUACCUCAGCAGCCCCCGUCGCCUUAGGAGGCUUGCAUCACUCUUCUCACUGUUGGAGAAAUGGAACAGAUGUCCCCUUGGCAAUUUUUCUCCAAAGGACCUCAGAAAGUAACAGCUGCUACAGGCUUCAGCCAUGCCUUCCAGGCGCUUCUGAAGAUGAGGGAAUUUCCUUCCUUCCUCCGCGCCCUCCCUGAGUCUCCACCCACAGAGCCUGGUCUGCUCCAGCACAGAGCGCAGGACAGAUCUGAUAUACAUAAAUCAACAUAUUACUCAUUUUCUAGCACUGCCUUUGACAGCUGUUACAUGGGCACAUUGUUGGAAACUGUCAAGCAGUGAUACACAGUGCCUUUUACAACAUAUGUUGACUUUUAUCUAAUGUAGUUCCAUAAUUAGCCCCAGGGAAAGUGAAUCCAGGCAUCCACCUGGCUGUGUGAUCUCAGUUAACCUUUGCUUUCUUCUGAGGAAUGCUAGUAGGGUGGAGGCAGAGACCCAAGCUGCUGUGUCCCAGGGACUCAGAGAAGCCAGUACAGGUGUGAGCUGAGUAGGAUCGGCAUACUUCUUACACCUUCCUGCCCUCUGCCCAUGCUCCAGGGAAAGUAUGUCAGCAGUCAGAGGCCAAGGAGUCUGGAGAGGUACAGCUGGUGUUCAGAUCCUCUAGGCCUGGAGGAGUCUGGGAGUCAUUGUGGGAAAGAUCUCCCUGGAACCUGGACAGUAAAGAACUUGAAAGAAAAAGCUAAGCAUUGCUCCAAAGGUUACCCUUGGUGCUCCCUCAGGUUUCUCUUUUGGAAAAAGACAAAACUUGCAAACUGCACGUGGCAAUAAAAACAUGCUUCCACGGAUUCGCAGGGUUCAGCAGGUGUCUUAGCAAGGGAGUGUAACAGGCAGAAUAUAAACUUGGGAUAAGAGCAUUUCAAUGCCUUCAUUUACCAACAUAGGAACCUUUGGAACCCUUGUAAUUUGCCAGGUCCUCCAUGUCCUCAGCUUCAAAUGGCAAUAAGGGCAGCAGGUGCUAUGUCACUGAAGAUAGGAGCUGUUCGCCAAGGCUCCUCCAGCACCAUGGACAGUGCCUGGAUCAAGAAAUAUUUUUAGUGAAUGAAUUCAUACACAGGCGUUCUAAUGAAGACCAAAUGAGAUGUGGAAACAUGUUGAAGACAGAAAAUCUGUGUCCAAAUAUGAGUUAUCUGAUUUAACUUUCCAUGUGUGAUUCUGUGAGCCAAGUUGGAGACAGAGCUCUGGUUAUCUUAAAAGCAAUGGAUCAGAAUAGAUCUGAGACAAACCAAAAUGCAUGAAUAGGGAUAAAGGCAUGAGAGUUUUCUAAAUAAAUAUUUGAAGACAACUAGCAUUCCCUACCCCAAGUCAAAAGAAAAAAAAAUCCUAGAAAAGGGAAAUUCCCAAGAGGGUCUUCUCCAGAAAGCCUUGUACCUCCACCUUGGUCCCAUCAGUUAGAGACUCUGCUUAAGUCAUACACAAUCCAUGAGCAUCAUUCUGCCUCCUUCCCUCCCUCCAUGAGCAUCACCUUUUGUUCUGCAGUGUCAGAGCAACUAUGGGAAUUCACAAGGAAUGCAUGCUGUUAUUCUCUAGGUUAAGCCCCCUGGGAUGCAAUGAAGACAGGAUGCUGCCCUUGGCCUCAAGGAGCUAAUGGACCAAUGGAAGAGAGAGUCCAAUAAAAUGACAGUAUAGUAAGAGCUCUACACAGAAGUAAACAGUAAAAGAGAAAAGGGCCAAAGGCAGAAUCCCAAAGAAAAGACAUUUAGGAUUUGGGUGAAAAUGAGAAUCCAAAGUAAGAAGAAAACUAGGAAAUAAAGAUGUCAUAGAAACCAAUAGAGAAGAAAAUUUCAAGAAUGAUUCCUCACUUAAAGUAUUACAUGCAUAGAAAAUUCAAAUAAGAUAGGAAUUGAAAAAGAUUCAGGGAGUUCCUCUUGUGGCUCAGUAGGUUAUGAACCCAACUAGUAUCCAUGAGGAUGCAAGUUCAAUCCCUGGCCCUGCUCAGUGGGUUAAGGAUCCUACAUUGCUGUGAGCUGUGGUUUGCAGAAGCGGCUGGAAUCUGGCAUUGCUGUGGUGUAAGCCAGCAGCUGCAGCUCCGAUUCGAUAUAUAGCCUGGGAAUUUCCACAUGCCUCAGGUGUGACCCUAAAAAGACAAGGAAGGAAGAAAGGAGGGAGAGAAGGGAUUUAGUAGAUUCACUAUCAAUGAGUAUAUGGUUUUAUUGAGACAGGAAAAUUUAAGUGGCAUUAUAAUGAAGGAUAUGACUAGGGGUCAAAUAGUAAAAAUUAGAAAUGAUAUAGGAAUUCAGAAAACAGAGGAAAAGAUCUUGUGGGACAGAGAAGUUAAAGGGAAAUUCAUCUAUGAGGUAUGAAUGGAAGUGGGCCUUGAAAGAUUAGCAGAAUUUGGAAGAAAAACAAAGUGGGGCUAGAGUUUACAACUAGGUGCAAUGGUCUGAGUAAAGCCAGGUUGUGUAUCUUCCAGUCCUUUAGGGUCAGAAGAGAGGAUAUGUGGAAAAUGAGGCUGGCAAGGAGUCUGGAGUUAGAUUCCCAAAGAUGGGAGAAAGGACUUAGACACUGGGUUCCCAGUUGAUCCCAUAGGCUUUGGGGAAAGGUCCAACAUGAUGAAAUCAGAGACUGGAAUAGAAGAACUAACAAUGGAGUAAUGGACAGAGUGGAGAGGACAGAGGAGCUAGCUGGACAGAGUGCAGAGGAGAGAGGGGCUAGCUGGACAGAGUGGAGGGGAGAGAGAAGCUAGCUGGAAGAAGAGAAGUUAGGGUUCCAAUAUAUUAAAAGAAACAAUGUGUACAAAUGGCUGACAAAUAAUAAGCACUAAAAAAUGUCAUAUCAUACAAUUUUAUUAUUAAAGAGUACUUCUCAACCAAGUCAGAGAAAUAUCUGCAAAUGAGGAACAUAUGAAAUAUUUUAUUUUAUAACUGAAAGGUUAUAUUUUUCUACUCCCUUCACCCAUUUUGCCUACUUCCAAGCCCCCUCUUCUAAUCUGUUCCCUGUAUCUAUGUGCUUGACUUUUGUUUUAUUUUGUCUAGAUACCAGAUAUAAGUGAAGUAAUACAGUAUUUGUCUUUAUCUGACUUAUUUCACUUUGUAUAAUGCCCUCAAGGUCCAUCCAUGUUGUCACAAAUGGCAAGAUUCCAUUCUUUUUUACGGCUGAAUAAAAUUCCAUUAGAUAGAUAGAUAGAUAGAUAGAUAGAUAGAUAGAUAGAUAGAUAGAUAGAUAGAUAGAUAGACAGACAGACAGACAGACAGACAGACAGACAGACAGACAGACAGAUAGAUAGAUAGAUAGAUAGAUAGAUAGAUACAUAGAUACAUAGAUACAUAGAUAGAUACAUAGAUAGAUACAUAGAUAGACAAACAGACAGAGAGACAGGAGAUAGAACUCAUGUCUUUAUCCACUGGCAUAAAAACAGACAUAGUUUGUGGAGUUCCUGCUGUGCACAGUUAAGAAUCUGACUGCAGCAGCUCAGGUCAACUGAGGGGGCUUGGGUUCAAUCCCUGGCUGGAUGUAGUGGGUUAAAAGGAUCCAGCUUUGCCCCAGCUGUGGUGUAAGUCACAGCUGCAGUUUGGAUUCAAUCCCUGGCCUGGCCAUUAAAAAACAAACAAACGGAGUUCCCAUCAUGGCACAGCGGAAAUGAAUCCGACUUGGAACUAUGAGGUUGUGGGUUCGAUCCCUGGACUCGCUCUGUGGGUUAAGGAUCCGGCAUUGCUGUGAGCUGUGGUGUAAGUCAUGGACACGGCUCAGAUCUGGUGUUGCUGUGUCUGUGGUGUAGGCUGGCAGCUACAGCUCCAAUUAGACCCCUAGCCUUGGACCUCCGUAUGCUGUGGGUACGGACCUAAAACGCAAAAAUCAAACAAACAACAACAAAAGAAACCAGGCAUAAGUCAACAGAACAGUAUAGAGAACUCAGAAAUAAACUCAUGCAUAUAUGGUCAGUUUAAUCUAUAACAAAGGAGGCAAGAAUAUAAAAUGGGAAAAGUCCAGUCUCUUCACUAAAUGGUGCUGGGAGGAGUUCCCAUUGUGGCAGAAUGGGGUUGGUAGUAUCUUGGGAGCGCUGGGAUACAGGUUCAACUCCCAGACCAGCACAUUGGGUUAAGGAUCUGGCAUUGCCACAGCUGUGGCUUAGGUUGUAACUAUGGCUCAGAUCUGAUCCCUGGCCUGGGAACUCCAUGUAUGCUGCGGGGUGGCAAAAAAAUAAAAAAUGGUGUUGGGAAAACUAGGCAGCCACAUGCAAAAGAAGGAAGCUAGACUAUUAUCUUAGACCAUACACAGAAAUUAACUCAAGAAGGAUCAAAAAAUUGAAUACAUGACCUGAAACCAUGAAACUCCUAGAAGAAAACAUAAAUUCUUUGAUAUUAAACUCGAGGAUGAUUUUUUUUUUUUGGAUCUUAUUCCAAAAGCAAAGGCAACAAAAGCAAAAAUAAACAAGUGAGACUCCAUCAAACUAAAAAGUUUCUGCACAUAAAAAGGAAACCAUUAACAAAAUGAAAAGACAACCUACUAAAUGGGAGAAAAUAUUUGCAAAUUACAUAUCCAAUAAGGGGUUAACAUCCAAAAUAUAUAAAGAACUCACACAACUCAAUAGCAAAAAAACAAAACAGUUGAAUUAAAAAAUGGGCCAAGGAGUUCCUGUUGUGGCUCAGCAGGUUAAGAACCCAACAGAGUCUCUGUGAGGAUACAGGUUCAAUCCCUGGCCUCGCUCAAUGGGUUAAAGAUCUGGCGUUGCUGAAAGCUACAGCAGAGGUCACAGAUGUGGCUUGGAUCCAGUGUUGCUGUGGCUGUAGGCUGGCAGCUGCAGCACCUAUUUGACCCCUAGCC